UGGGGAAUAUUGCACAAUGGAGGGAACUCUGAUGCAGCGACGCCGCGUGAGUGAUGAAGGAAUUCGUUUCGUAAAACUCUGUUCUAUGGGAAGAAAAGGACUGUACCAUAGGAGGAAGCUCCGGCUAAAUACGUGCCAGCAGCCGCGGUAAUACGUAUGGAGCGAGCGUUGUCCGGAAUUAUUGGGCGUAAAGGGUGCGCAGGCGGCUUUACAAGUUGGAUGUGAAAUAUUGUGGCUCAACCACAAACGUGCAUCCAAAACUGCAAAGCUUGAGUUAAGGAGAGGUAAGUGGAAUUCCUGGUGUAGCGGUGGAAUGCGUAGAUAUCAGGAGGAAUACCGGUGGCGAAGGCGACUUACUGGACUUAAACUGACGCUCAGGCACGAAAGCGUGGGGAGCAAACAGG
This 404-nucleotide ribosomal RNA is filed under the name Fusobacteriota bacterium. RNAcentral describes it as "Fusobacteria bacterium partial 16S ribosomal RNA". It matches the Rfam family "Bacterial small subunit ribosomal RNA", at positions 355 to 776 of the family's 1533-position model. Lineage: Bacteria; Fusobacteriati; Fusobacteriota. The record is from RNAcentral.